CCUACGGGAGGCAGCAGUGAGGAAUAUUGGUCAAUGGCCGGAAGGCUGAACCAGCCAUGCCGCGUGAAGGUCAGUGCCCUAUGGGCGUUAAACUUCUUUUGUGCGGGAGCAAUAAUGGUCACGUGUGGCCAGACGAGAGUACCGUACGAAUAAGCCUCGGCUAACUCCGUGACAGCAGCCGCGGUAAUACGUGGGAUGCAAGCGUUCUCCGGAUUUAAUGGGUUUAAAGGGUGCGUAGGCUGUGAGGUAAGUCAGCGGUGAAAUGGCCCCGCUCAACGGGUUGAAGUGCCAUUGAUACUGCCUUGCUGGAAUGCGGAUGACGUGGGAGGAAUGUGUGGUGUAGCGGUGGAAUGCAUAGAUAUCACACAGAACACCGAUUGCGAAGGCAUCUCACGAAUCCGCGAUUGACGCUGAUGCACGAAAGCGUGGGUAUCAAACAGGAUUAGAUACCCUGGUAGUC
This 460-nucleotide ribosomal RNA is filed under the name uncultured bacterium. RNAcentral's name for it is "partial 16S ribosomal RNA". It matches the Rfam family "Bacterial small subunit ribosomal RNA", at positions 338 to 795 of the family's 1533-position model. The record is from RNAcentral.